This is a non-coding RNA of Phalacrocorax carbo (great cormorant), 1176 nucleotides long. The record is from RefSeq and is a predicted model, not a curated record. Lineage: Eukaryota; Metazoa; Chordata; Aves; Suliformes; Phalacrocoracidae.
AAAUACGGCGGGGUGGGGGGGAGCGGGGGGCAGCUCUUCUCUCAGGGUGCUCGGCGGCUUUGGAGGGUGCUGUUGCGUUCAGCUGGAAGGGUCAUCUUUGUAAAUGUAGAAACUCCUGGGAAAGGUUAUCAAUUACAGUUUACUAAUAAUACAGACACUUAAAAAAAAAAAAACCUGCAAGCCUCAAGUGGCUUCCUCUUUGCCUCAGUUCUCAGCCCCCCUCGUCAGGCCGGGAUCACCCUCCCCGGGCACGCUGGCUCCGGGAAGCACAGCAGGCCAAGCCCUGAGGCCGCCCAGGCCUUCUGUGAGGCAUGGCUGGCCAGCUGUGGGGAUGCCCGAAGAGCAGUCAUGGCUGGAAACUGAAAAGGACCCAGACAAUGUUUGUUGCGUUUGGUUUGUCCUGAGGACAGGCACCCUUCGACAGCGCAUCUCCCUCAAUUCCCAUACCUGUUCGCUGGCCUGACCCUGGUAAACUGGAUUUUCCUCCCUCUCCACACCCAGAAGAGAGCCAGCUUUACCCUCACAGCUGGCUUGAAGCCACAGUGGUUCGUCAAUCUUUGAGGAAACCUGUAUCCAAACCAGCUGGGAAAACCCCAGCACCCAGACCCUCUGUUGAGGAGAGAUCUGGGGAUGGCCAGGAAUGCGACAUACUGCCCAUGGAUGUGCGGUAGAGGUUUGACCAAGUCUGCCUUGCCCCGGACACUUGUCUGUGCCUCAAAACUAGGCAAGUAUGCUCCCUUUUUCAUUACUUCCUCCUUUUGUUGCUUCCCACAGUCUCUACCGAAGCCAAAGAGGCAAAGCCUGUUCCUAGUGAGACCUGACGACAUGAAUCUUCCACUGCAGCUUCAUGUAAUUCCAUCCUUAGGCUAGCCAUACCAGGACGAGACAGAAGAUGGCACUCGAACAGCACCAGAUGAACAACUAUCACACUUAACAGGCCGCACAGGGAAUAAACAUCUGUGGAGUACUCGACACAAUCCUUGGAAGUGACAUUUCACCACCCAGCUGUUCUACGGCAGUCUUCAAGUCACCACCAGUUUUUGGUACAAGAAUGGAUCUACAUUUCCACUUCAGCCUUGAUCUUCAGCACUGACUCAAUUUCCAGUCCGCUCACAAGACUGCUCACGCAACUGACAUGUUGCUGCUUUAUGUUUCAUUAAAAACAAAGUCACUCCA